This 88-nucleotide transfer RNA is filed under the name Lacrimispora sphenoides. RNAcentral describes it as "[Clostridium] sphenoides tRNA-Leu(taa)". It matches the Rfam family "tRNA". From Rfam's summary of the family: Transfer RNA (tRNA) molecules are approximately 80 nucleotides in length. Lineage: Bacteria; Bacillati; Bacillota; Clostridia; Lachnospirales; Lachnospiraceae. RNAcentral also lists the same sequence under 3 other names. The record is from RNAcentral.
UGCCGGCGUGGCGGAACAGGCAGACGCACAGGACUUAAAAUCCUGCGGGACUUACCUCCCGUACCGGUUCGAUUCCGGUCGCCGGCAU